AACGAAUGCUGGCGGCAUGCCUAACACAUGCAAGUCGAACGAGACCUUCGGGUCUAGUGGCGUACGGGUGCGUAACGCGUGGGAACCUGCCCUUAGGUUCGGAAUAACUCCCCGAAAGGGGUGCUAAUACCGGAUAAUGUCUUCGGACCAAAGAUUUAUCGCCUUUGGAUGGGCCCGCGUUGGAUUAGCUAGUUGGUAGGGUAAAAGCCUACCAAGGCGACGAUCCAUAGCUGGUCUGAGAGGAUGAUCAGCCACACUGGGACUGAGACACGGCCCAGACUCCUACGGGAGGCAGCAGUGGGGAAUAUUGGACAAUGGGCGAAAGCCUGAUCCAGCAAUGCCGCGUGAGUGAUGAAGGCCUUAGGGUUGUAAAGCUCUUUUACCCGGGAUGAUAAUGACAGUACCGGGAGAAUAAGCUCCGGCUAACUCCGUG
Molecule: ribosomal RNA, 433 nt
Filed under: uncultured bacterium
Lineage: Bacteria
Description: partial 16S ribosomal RNA
Rfam family: Bacterial small subunit ribosomal RNA
Source: RNAcentral